AAUGACAAAUCUGCUUUAAUUGCUAACAAUAAUCGGACAGAGCAACUUAAUUUUGGACGUGGCUCUCGUGGAGGAAGAAGUAGAGGAGGUUGUGGGGGUCGUGGAGGUCGAGGCACCCGUGAGUGCAAUCAUUGUGGUUUAAAGAAUCACACUCGUGAUACUUGUUGGGAUUUAAAUGGAAAACCACCUCGGUUUGUUAAUACGGUUACCACUGAUCAAACUGAAUCAAGUUCUUUAGCACAAGGGUCUCAGAAGACUGUUACCAUAUCUGAGGAAGAUUAUAUCAAAUUUCUGCAGUACCAAACUGCAAAUCACGCAUCUCUUCCCUCUACUUCUGUAGCACAAAAAGGAUUUGAAGACAAAGAGGACGAUUGGUGGAGGACAUGAGCAUAAUGGUCUUUACUUUCUCAACUCUAAUGGUCCGAUUGCGUGCCCUGCUACUGUUUCUCCUCUUGAAAUUCACUGUCGUUUGGGUCAUCCGUCUCUACAAAAUUUGAAGAAGUUGGUCCCUACCUUGAGUCAGUUGUCUUCAUUAGAAUGUGAGUCUUGUCAAUUAGGAAAGCAUCAUCGUGUUUCUUUUGUCCCUAGGGUCAAUAAACGGGUUUCGGAACCCUUUUUGUUAGUUCAUUCUGAUGUUUGGGGUCCUAGUCGAGUAACUUCAAAGUUAGGUUUUAAAUAUUUUGUAAUCUUUGUUGAUGAUUUUUCCAGAGUUACAUGGCUUUAUUUAAUGAAAGAUCGUUCAGAAUUAUAUUCCA
Non-coding RNA from Coffea arabica (coffee), 755 nucleotides. The record is from RefSeq and is a predicted model, not a curated record. NCBI's taxonomy places the organism in Eukaryota, Viridiplantae, Streptophyta, Magnoliopsida, Gentianales, Rubiaceae.